RNAcentral lists this ribosomal RNA (253 nucleotides) under uncultured bacterium. RNAcentral describes it as "partial 16S ribosomal RNA". It matches the Rfam family "Bacterial small subunit ribosomal RNA", at positions 524 to 776 of the family's 1533-position model. The record is from RNAcentral.
GACAGAGGGUGCAAACGUUGUUCGGAAUUACUGGGCGUAAAGCGCGUGUAGGCAGCUUGGCAAGUCGGGUGUGAAAGCCCUGGGCUUAACCUAGGAAUUGCAUUCGAGACUGAAUAGCUAGGGUGCGGUAGAGGGAAGCGGAAUUUCCGGUGUAGCGGUGAAAUGCGUAGAUAUCGGAAGGAACAUCAGUGGCGAAAGCGGCUUCCUGGACCAGCACCGACGUUCAGGCACGAAAGCGUGGGGAGCAAACAGG